RNAcentral lists this ribosomal RNA (254 nucleotides) under uncultured bacterium. Its description in RNAcentral is "partial 16S ribosomal RNA". It matches the Rfam family "Bacterial small subunit ribosomal RNA", at positions 524 to 776 of the family's 1533-position model. The record is from RNAcentral.
UACGGGGGGAACAAGCGUUGUUCGGAUUUACUGGGCGUAAAGGGCGCGUAGGCGGCCACCGCAAGUCAGUUGUGAAAUCUCUGGGCUUAACCCAGAAAGGUCAACUGAUACUGCGGGGCUAGAGUGCAGAAGGGGCAACUGGAAUUCUCGGUGUAGCGGUGAAAUGCGUAGAUAUCGAGAGGAACACCUGCGGCGAAGGCGGGUUGCUGGGCUGACACUGACGCUGAUGCGCGAAAGCUAGGGGAGCGAACGGG